GGACCAAUCGUUGCUUCUCCAACUUUGGGCUCUACCUUCAAUACGGACUCCUUACAGUCGUCGGGAGACUCGGAGCAGUAGCCUUGAUAGGUAAGCCACCAAUUCCCUCCUCAUCAAUUGGCUUCUCCUCAGUCGUCCUCAAGAAAGGUUCAAUCAAGGGUAUCUCAUCAAAAAUCUUGAGAAUGGUCGAACUCUAUUCUCCUAUUCUUUGGCCCAAGUCAAUUCCUAAAGUAUCCUCUGUUUGGCCCAACUUUACUACCCUGAUAGGCUAAACACCAAGCUCUCUUCUCACCUGCUCACUCUCAGUCACCAAAGAAGGCUC
This 322-nucleotide long non-coding RNA is filed under the name Elaeis guineensis (African oil palm). RNAcentral describes it as "long non-coding RNA (EGUI_LNC034422)". The record is from RNAcentral. Lineage: Eukaryota; Viridiplantae; Streptophyta; Magnoliopsida; Arecales; Arecaceae.